RNAcentral lists this long non-coding RNA (366 nucleotides) under Mytilus galloprovincialis (Mediterranean mussel). The record is from RNAcentral. Lineage: Eukaryota; Metazoa; Mollusca; Bivalvia; Mytilida; Mytilidae.
AUGGAUACAUAGAAAUACACAUUUAAAACAAGUGAAACUGCGAGCUACUGCUCACUGAUGAUACCCCCGCCGCAAGUGGAUAAUAUUAAUAGUGUAAAAAUAUGCAAGUGUUCAGUAAACAGGAAGUUGUCGAGUGAUGAAUCUGAAAACGCAUCACACGGUAUAGCUGACUUAUAUAAAUCCUGAAACCAAAUUUCAGAAAUCCUUGUAUUGUAGUUCCUGAGAAAAAUGUGACGAAAAUUUUCAACUUGGCUGUCAUGUGUAAAAUCAUACCAGUGUUCGGUAAACAGGAAGUUGUCUAGUGAUGAAUCUGAAAACGCAUCACACGGUAUGGCUGACAUAUAUAAAUGUUGAUACCAAAUUACA